GGAGGAGGUGAUGAGGAGGACAGAGUCUGAUGGGAAUGAAUGAGAAGCAGGAGGUGAAAAAGGAGAAACAGGUUCAUGUACCUUCAGUGUGAAGCUCCGCUGCUUCUCCUGCAGCAACUUCCUGCUUCUUCUCCUCCACAUCUUCCAGUCCAGAGUCAUGAUGAUCAGGUUCAUCCACCGUCGGAGAGGAGACGCAAGGAGGUGAUGUAGACUCCUCAGGGAGAGGAGGAGGAACACUGGACUCCUCAGAAACAGUGUGAUGAAGACUGGACUCCUCGGAGUGUUCUAGGUGUGUGUCUGUUGUGUUAUUUCCAGAUAAAGGGUCCUCAGCGUGUUUGUGUUUUGUGUUAUUUUCAGUAAAACAGUCUUUUUCUAUAUGUGCUUGUCUUUCUCCUCUUUCUCCUCCUCCUCUCUCUUCUUCCAUCACCUCCUCUUUUCUCUCCAGACUCUGCUGCAUGAUUAGAACCUGAACCUCCUCUUCUAGCUCCACCUGCUCGGCACCUUCAUCCUCUGACUCCUCCUCUUCAUCCUGGCUCCUCCUACACUGCUCCUCCUCCUGCACCUCCUCUUCUCCUUCUGACUCUACAACUUCAUUCUUUCCUUCUGUCUCCUCCUGCUCUCUCUGUUCUGUUCUGGUUUCAGGUUCUGGGUUCUGGUUCUGGCCUGGUUCUGUACCUGCUAUAGGUUCCUGCUGACAGGAAACUGGUCUGAGGACAACUGCUCCACAGAAGUCCUGGUCCUGGUCCUGGUCCUGGUCCUGCUCUGAGAGCCUGGAGUCCACCUCCACACCGGGCUGACAGAAGUGUGUGGUUCCACUGGUGUGUGUCAUAGCAGCAGAGUGUGCAUUUGUGGUGUGAGGUGUAUGUGUUGUUGUUCCAGGUGUGUGUGUUUCAGAUGUGUGUGCAGGUGUGUGUGUCCCAGGUGUUUGUGUUGUUGUAGUGUGUGUAGGUGUGCGUGUUGUUGUUCCAGGUGUGUGUGUUGUUGUAGUGUGUGUAGGUGUGUGUGUUGUUGUUCCAGGUGUGUGUGUUGUUG
Molecule: long non-coding RNA, 1032 nt
Organism: Amphiprion ocellaris (clown anemonefish)
Lineage: Eukaryota; Metazoa; Chordata; Actinopteri; Pomacentridae
Source: Ensembl